CCCAUAGGUUGGGUCGUGACAAUAAAUCUAUUGUUUUCCUUACUUUUUGUCACCAGUGUGAGGUGCAAAUUAAUGGAUACUUUCUAACGGCAACUGACAGGAGUUUUAUAUGGUGUAGUAUCUAGCAUUGCAGAAAAAUGAAUUUGUAGAUGAAGGUCAUGGAAAUAGAGAAGCUCUGCACAUUCUUAUUCAGCAUAGCCUAGAUCCGGCCAUGGUUCAUUUCGGAACCAAAUUGAAAUUGAUCAAGAUCAGAUUGGAAUUGAUUGAUCCUGGCUAAAUCGGAUUUUGAAAAAAUUUCAACUGUUGAACUUGAUCAAAGUCAGACCGAACCAGAUCAAAAUUAAAACUGAAACCUAUAAAAAAACCCGGCUGACUGGUUAGAACCGGCCCCAUAGCCGCCAUACCACAGCCACAAGGUAAACAAGUUUCCUGCUUUGAACAUUGCUGUCAAGUAAUAAUAAUAAUAAUAAUACAAGGAGUAAUCAAAUUCUGAAGCCUGCUAGUUAAGCACUCAAAGCCUAAGUAUCACCUCUUUCCAUUUUAGUAUUUCCGUGCAGCCAAAGGUGCCGGUAUUAAAAAAAGAAAAUGCAGACCGCAUGCCAAUAAUAUUAAGUUUAAUUACCAAUGAGCUUUAGCUCGAUAGUAUUGAAGUUGUGCUAGGAUCGUGAGGUUUUCAGAUUUGAUUUCCAAUCAGAGCCAAUUAUAACAGAAAUAAUAAUAAUAAUAAGUUUAAUUUGUCGGCCUAUUUCAAAGUUGGAACUUUGAACGAGUGUUAAACAGUCUGCCUAAAGGGUUUGACUCUAGUAGAAAUUUAAUUACCUACCUACCAAAGCUUUCUUUGACUGACUUGAUAAU
Molecule: unclassified non-coding RNA, 855 nt
Filed under: Hevea brasiliensis (rubber tree)
Lineage: Eukaryota; Viridiplantae; Streptophyta; Magnoliopsida; Malpighiales; Euphorbiaceae
Source: RNAcentral